RNAcentral lists this ribosomal RNA (426 nucleotides) under uncultured bacterium. RNAcentral describes it as "bacterial SSU rRNA". It matches the Rfam family "Bacterial small subunit ribosomal RNA", at positions 355 to 773 of the family's 1533-position model. The record is from RNAcentral.
UGGGGAAUCUUGCACAAUGCGCGAAAGCGUGAUGCAGCAACGCCGCGUGAGGGAAGACGGCCUUCGGGUUGUAAACCUCUUUCAGUUGGGACAAAGGUCGGGUGGUUAAUAGCCAUUCCGACUGACGGUACCUUCACAAGAAGCCCCGGCUAACUACGUGCCAGCAGCCGCGGUAAUACGUAGGGGGCAAGCGUUGUCCGGAAUCAUUGGGCGUAAAGAGCGUGUAGGCGGCUUGAUAAGUCGGCUGUGAAAGUCAGGGGCUCAACCCUUGAAUGCCGGCCGAUACUGUCAAGCUAGAGUCCGGAAGAGGCGAGUGGAAUUCCUGGUGUAGCGGUGAAAUGCGCAGAUAUCAGGAGGAACACCAAUGGCGAAGGCAGCUCGCUGGGACGGUACUGACGCUGAGACGCGAAAGCGUGGGGAGCAAAC